This is a long non-coding RNA of Neopsephotus bourkii (Bourke's parrot), 1134 nucleotides long. RefSeq lists it as uncharacterized. The record is from RefSeq and is a predicted model, not a curated record. NCBI's taxonomy places the organism in Eukaryota, Metazoa, Chordata, Aves, Psittaciformes, Psittacidae. The transcript has 3 exons.
ACUUUCAAAUAUUAGGAAGCGGUACCACCUCCACAGAGGGUAGGAACAGGGACUUUGAGCUGAGACACGCUUUGCAGGACAGGCCCUUAGUGAUGUCCUCCCUGUGCCUAUCCUGCCAGGUUUGAUGGCAGCACUUGGCUGGCUGGAAAAGUCACUCCAUGUCACAGACCUGCAGCUAACUCCCAGAAAGCCACACCAUGACACUAGCCAGGCUUAAUCCCCUGCUGCACACACACAAGGUCUGCUGCUUCCCAAGUCUUGAGAUGGCAGCCCAGGCCCUAAAGGCUGCACCGUGGAGGGCAAAGAAUAAACAUCCCGGCACCGCAGGCUGCCGCUGGGCACCCUGCAUUCCCAUGAGAAACUUGCAAAGUCGGAUAAACUGCGUCACAGCAGCCUGCAAACCAGAGGCCUGGGUGGUUUAAAAAUACUGCCUGACACAUAUUUCCCAGGCCAUAUAUAGUUCACACAUCUCACGGUAGCAGGAAGGAGCUGCAAAGACACACAGUGACACAGAGAAGGAAAAAAGCAACGGGAGACACAACUGCCAGCAUGCAACAAAGCCAGGUUAAAAAUAGCUGGGGCUGCAACAGCUCCCUUCUGGUGGGGGGGUACAGGGCCGCUGGCUCUCCCUGCCCUCACUGGCCCCUCUCCCUGCUGCCUAUUUUAUGCCAGGAGGAAAGGGUCAGAAGGAAGCCUUUGGUUCCUGUAGGCAGGAAGAGGGAAAAUGACAGCCCUGCCUACUUUGACACUGAGCAGGCUUACCCAGGCUUGCACAGACACCCGGCUGGACCGGAGCUGCGGGAACCCCUUCCUGAGGGGUGGGAUGGGGGCACAGGAAGAGCACAGCCUUGGAUGGCCUUGCUCACAGCCCCCAGCAGCCACAGGCAUCACUUCAAGCGAUGUGAUGCCACAAUGCCCAGAGAUGUGCUAUCAUACUGCACAGAAGGGAAUGCAGCCUGCACUUUGUCAUUGCAUAAGGAAAGCAGCAACACGCCAAAAGGAGAGAUGUGAACAUCUUCGCCGUCACCUUCUCCUAGCCUGAUACCUUGCAGGGAAAACACAAAUAUGAACAUGAAUAUUAUAGCCAAGUAGCCAACAGAAAGGUUUAAUGAGAUGUUUCUGUGCAGAAAACAG